RNAcentral lists this ribosomal RNA (253 nucleotides) under uncultured bacterium. Its description in RNAcentral is "partial 16S ribosomal RNA". It matches the Rfam family "Bacterial small subunit ribosomal RNA", at positions 524 to 776 of the family's 1533-position model. The record is from RNAcentral.
UACGGAGGGUGCAAGCGUUGUUCGGAAUCAUUGGGCGUAAAGCGCGUGUAGGCGGCUUGGCAAGUCGGGUGUGAAAUCCCGGGGCCCAACCCCGGAACUGCAUUCGAAACUGCCUCGCUUGAGUCUCGGAGAGGAGAGCGGAAUUCCCGGUGUAGAGGUGAAAUUCGUAGAUAUCGGGAGGAACACCAGCGGCGAAGGCGGCUCUCUGGACGAUGACUGACGCUGAGACGCGAAAGCGUGGGGAGCAAACAGG